CUUAGUCUCAGUUCGGAUUGUAGGCUGAAACUCGCCUACAUGAAGCUGGAGUUGCUAGUAAUCGCGAAUCAGCAUGUCGCGGUGAAUACGUUCCCGGGCCUUGUACACACCGCCCGUCACACCAUGAGAGUUGGCAAUACCCAACGUACGUGAUCUAACCCGCAAGGGAGGAAGCGUCCUAAGGUAGGGUCAGCGAUUGGGGUGAAGUCGUAACAAGGUAAC
This 222-nucleotide ribosomal RNA is filed under the name uncultured bacterium. Its description in RNAcentral is "partial 16S ribosomal RNA". It matches the Rfam family "Bacterial small subunit ribosomal RNA", at positions 1281 to 1500 of the family's 1533-position model. The record is from RNAcentral.